RNAcentral lists this ribosomal RNA (484 nucleotides) under uncultured bacterium. RNAcentral describes it as "partial 16S ribosomal RNA". It matches the Rfam family "Bacterial small subunit ribosomal RNA", at positions 30 to 507 of the family's 1533-position model. The record is from RNAcentral.
AUUGAACGCUGGCGGCAGGCCUAACACAUGCAAGUCGAGCGGAUGAAGGGAGCUUGCUCCUGGAUUCAGCGGCGGACGGGUGAGUAAUGCCUAGGAAUCUGCCUGGUAGUGGGGGAUAACGUCCGGAAACGGGCGCUAAUACCGCAUACGUCCUGAGGGAGAAAGUGGGGGAUCUUCGGACCUCACGCUAUCAGAUGAGCCUAGGUCGGAUUAGCUAGUUGGUGGGGUAAAGGCCUACCAAGGCGACGAUCCGUAACUAGUCUGAGAGGAUGAUCAGUCACACUGGAACUGAGACACGGUCCAGACUCCUACGGGAGGCAGCAGUGGGGAAUAUUGGACAAUGGGCGAAAGCCUGAUCCAGCCAUGCCGCGUGUGUGAAGAAGGUCUUCGGAUUGUAUAGCACUUUAAGUUGGGAGGAAGGGCAGUAAGUUAAUACCUUGCUGUUUUGACGUUACCAACAGAAUAAGCACCGGCUAACUUCGUG